UAUCUGUGAACUCAUACUGGCACAGAGAGAAAUCCUGGCAGGUGUAGGCCAGCUUCCUAUUCACACAGCUGGCCAACUUGCCCAAAUAGAUGUGAUUUGCCACGGUCAUUCUGGUGGUUUCCAGCUCCCGACAGCUCUCCCCACUCAUUCUUUUCUACCUCUUUCAGCCCUAUUUCCUUUUAGAUCAUACCUACUGAGCCUCAGAAGUUUCUAUUUAUGUGGCAUGACUACUUACCACCCAACCGCUGCGUUUGUACUGAAUAGAAAUCUGAAAUCCCUGUUACCCCCGUCCUCCAUGCUACUGUUUUACUUCCUGCUUCUUCCGUCUUAGUCUGAGGAACGCUGAAUCAGGAGAUGAGUACUCCAGCACCAUCCUGGCAGCAUUCUCCUCUCUCCAGCCAGGAGAUGUUGUUUCAUUCUUCUUCAUUCUAUAUAUGAUAGCCGCCCGUAGGAGCCCUAGUCGUGGAUCAGGAGGCCGUUGUGCUAGGCACAGUACAAACAGAACAAAAAGAUGGCCCCUGCCCUGAAGUGUUCACAAUCUGGAGAGCAGCCAAUAGGCCAGGUUCCAGCACAUUGUUAGCCAAGGCUUCACAGCAAAUAGUGGCAGAGCUGUGAAAAGAACCCAGGAGUCCUGCCUCCUGCUGUUAACCAUAGAAUAGUGCUGGGCAGUGAUAUACAAAUAAUGCACAUUUCCUCUUCCAUGCCAAGAGGUUUUGAGCAGACAUGCCAAACCUGUAGGAAAAAAUGCAGAAAUUGGGCUUGUUUUUGGCUUAAUUGACUUGUGAGUUGCUUGUAGCUUGUUGCUUCUUUUUUUUUAUUGGCUGCCAGCAAGCAGGGGGAAGAGGAGCGGGAUAGACUCGGGAUGCCUAGCAGGCCCACCAGAGUCCCAGACUGCACACCGGGGGGAUCUAGUCACACAGUGUUGGGGUUCUUAGGGAUUGGCUUGUUUUGACCUUGUUUUGAAAUGGGAUAAGCUUAAUUUUUGUCUUGUCGUGAAAGCCGGGGUGCUUAUUUACCAUGUGAAAGUUGGCAACUGUGGUUUUCAGCUACAAGCGUUCUACUGUGCUUUGGCUCGUCACUCCCAAGCCCCUCUUAACGUCUCCUGCCUGUGAAACAUACAUUUCAGUCUAACAUGCAGAGGCCUUGGUCCCAGGGUCAAUAUGAAAAGGAUAUUAUCACAGCCCUUUUUUUGGAGGCAAUACUGACUCUCUGAAACUCUCCCAGGGUCUCUAUGAUAAAAGAUGGUCUAAUCUGAGCGCAUUCUAAGAACUGCUCAGAGGCCUACGGUCCCAAGGGCUUGUGAAACUACAGCAGUGUCAACCUGCCUUUGGCUCAAAUGGCAUCUGUAUGCAUGGACAGGGAGUCUGACUUUUCCAAGCAUUGCUUUAAUUAGAUUUUUUUUAAUGCAAAUAAACCCUUAGAUCACUUAAGCAGCAUCCUUAAUCGAAAUUUCAAUAUUUGUCCAAGGUCAGCUAGUAACUUCUGAAUUGUCCAGUGAGUUUUAAUUGAAACACAAACAUUCUUCUGUUUUCUCUCAUUACAUUUCUUGCAUUAAAGUUAGUUUAAAGAGUUUGUUGGAAACCCAGUCCAAGGUGCUGUAGCUGUAAGAAUCAAGGAUGCUCAUCCCCUUUAAGAGUUGUUGGUAUGGAUUUUUGACCCUGAACAAAUAGUUUAUAGAGAAUGUUAAUAAAAAAAGUAUUGGCUUUACCCCUUAACUUUUUUCAAAACUAGGAGAGAAGUGAACUUCCAUGAUUACAAGAAGGGACUGGCAUGCUAGGGAUUCUUUGGUUCUAUUCCUGACUCUGACACUGACCAAAUAUGAUCCUCCACCUCUCUGCCUCAGCUGGAGCUGGAGUCUGAUUGUGUCUACACUGUACCCAAAAAAAAAAAAAAAAGCGUUCUUAACUCGGGUUAAAAUAACAGUGAAGAUGGGAUGUGAUUCUGCUUUUCAAGCUGCUAACUCCAAUUAAAAGCUGGAUUGCUGUGUCUUCACUCUUAUUUUAAUCCGAGUUAGUUAACCCGCAUUAAGAAUGCACCUUUUAUUCCCCCACCCCCAUGUAGACUUACCUUGGGUGGCCAAAAGCAUCAUGAUUCCUCUCUGCAGGCUGCAGCUAGGGCUGUUGGCUCCACGGGUGGUGUUGGCCUGUGUGCAUGUUCUUGAACCAAGAGGUUCCUGGGUAGCUAACUAAACAAACCUCACCUCCUAUUGACGCAGGAUGAUUAAACCAAGGCUGUAAACGUCGGUAUCUCGGGGUUUCAGUACCAGGCAGCAUCCUGCCUUUUCAGCGCUUUUAUUUAGUUUGUGGGGUUUUUUAUUAUUUUUCAAUUUCUUUGUUGCUAAUGAACUUUUGCAGCAAACGUGGGGGGGAGGGAGAAAUGUUCAUUUUCUCUGGAACCAGCAUCUCAAACAGAUGACUCUAGGAAUGAGUUUUAUGAAUUGCCUUCAGGGUCAGUGACAACUGCAUGGUGAUGAUUAAAGAUUUUAGAGGCAUGGGAACCAAUAUUAAAAAAUAAAUGAUUUCCAGUGAGGCAACAGCUUACAGAGACGGCUUUUCCCAUGUGACCCGUUGUGUGGCUGCACCACCAAUCUGCUGCUAGAGCUGCAAAAGUGCUGCAAUGUUCUCCGUGCAGCGUUGUCUCAUAACUCACAGCUGGCCAGUGGAGCAGAACCUCAGCCAUGUGGAUACGGAAAUCCAGUCCAGAUUCUUUCCUUUCCAAGGAUUCUUUCUGGAUGGUCUAGUUUGUUCCAGCUGGGCUGGAUUUCUGUGGUUGCCCAGGGUAGAUUCUAGGUAAGCCGUUUGGGAAAAGGACCAUUAGCUGGAUUCCCGUGGUCAGCUCUGUCACUGACUUUGCUGUGUGACCUUGGGAAAGUCACUAACUUGGUGCCAUCUGUAACGUGGAGGCUGGUGAUGCUGAGCGCACCAGGUGCUGCAUGCUUUAAUUCAUGUGUGAAACACUGUGCGCGCCUCACGCGAGAGGCCCCCUAGUGGGGCAAGGAAUGAUUGCUUGUGAAGAGCUGCAUGGUGUGGGGGAGAGCGUGCUGUCACACAGCUUCAGCAGGGGGCGCUAGGCGACAGCCCUCUGCCAGCUGUCGGUUUGAAACACAUCUGUGGAGGCUGUUAGGAAUCCGAGCUUCUUCGAGCUAGAGUUAAUGACAUGAAGUCCAGGGCAGAGGAUUUUUGGUCCUUAUACUAAUGACUCUGUUCCUCGGCACUGGCAGGUUUUGCACUGCCAACAGCAGAGGUCAGGGCAGGAAAAUCCAAUUUGUAGCAUGGGGGGACAAUGCAACCCUGAAACAACUCUUCCUUUCGAAAGAAAAACAGCCCAGCUGAGCUCUGACCCCAAGUCCAUGCUCCAUGUGGUUCUUCAGGAUUGAGCUUUGCCGUGUGCCUGGUGGAGUCAGCUGGGGAGCCCCGCUGCACUCAGGAGGACAAUUGCCACUGCACCUGCAGCCCCAGCAUACUGGAAAUGCUGCACCCGUCACUGCCUCCUCUCCCUGGAGCCUCGCAGCAGUGGGGAUGGAGGGAGAGACGGUGUGUAUGUUCCCUACCACUAGGAGGAGACAUGGCUAGAAAUGAUGGUUCUGGAGUGAAGGCCGAUUUAUAAUGGAGCAUUUAUUAAAGCCCAGAUUCUCAAAGGUAUUUAGGUGAUUAGUUCCUGUUGAUUUCAAUGGGAGCUAGCCACCUAAAUACCUUUUAAGGAUCUGGACCUAAGCGAUGCUUUUACACCGAGGGGUGCAUGGGAUGGUGUAAUGGAGAUUUGAGCUGCUUCUGCAGUUAAUGGUAAAGGAACCAAGGGAGCAUGAGGCUAAAUGGAUCCCAGGGGAUUCCUUAGACAUCAUCUUCCUCCCACUCCAGCCUCCAGCAGCCAUGCUGUCCCCCCGGGCCUGCCUGAUGCUAUGUCUUCCAGCCCGAAUCCUUCAUCUUCCUCCCAAGUGAAGUAAUGCGGGCCACGGUCAGCAAGUUGCCUGCCUCCACCGAUCAAAUCAGUUGUGGGCUGCAGUGCUGCCUUGCCCCAACUCACUGCAGACACCAAGCCUUCCCGCUCUUGAGGCUUGGCAAGAGUUCCUCUUGAGAUGUCCCUGUACAUAGACACGGGUCAGUCUUGCAAUGUGCUCAGCACCUUUUGCUAGAUGCAGAACUCCCUCUGCUCCUGGUAGCAGUGGACCAGUGUUUCUCAAACUUUUCAAUACCAGGGACCAGCUUGCUGCCUUCUUAAACUGUAUCAGGGAGAGCUCAGGGACCGGCACCCAUCUACGGACCAGUCGUUGAGGAACACUGCUGUAGAUGACUCAACAUAGAGCCCUGUAUGAUCCCAGUCAUCACUUGGGCAUGAACCAACAUAAGAACCUGUGUCCACGUGAGGCAGCAUCAUUGUGCUUAGCAACCAUUUCCCUAGAGCUUCGAGCAGAAAGGACAAAAGGCUGAAUGUCAACAGGCUCCAUGGAGUCCUAACCAAACCACUCAUGGGGUGUGUGUAGUUCCUCUUACCCUGUGAUGCUCUGCAGGCCUGGACCUCCUUGUCUGAUUAACCUGCGCCACCAGUCACUGCCACUGGGCAUGAAGGGGUUAAACCAGAACUGGGAUUUGAAUAAUGAGGUUAAGUGAUGAUGGACGUGGAGCAAUGUUCUUCUCCCCCGGGGACUGAUCCUCUCAGGAGUCGGAGGGCACCCGCAGCCAAUUUAACUUCAAAAAGCCCUCAGCCACUGUGUAGGCUGAUCAGUCAGCGUUCAGCAUAUGGCAACAGCCAUGGAGACAGCCGCCUCUCCCUCGCAAACACACGCACCCGCCAGCCGCUGCCUCGCUUGGCCCAAAUGUGGCAUUGUUCCAUUCUGCAUGAGCAUGCACACACGCCAGCAAGGCCCUGCCACCAGCCAAUCAGGACCUCUUGCCUUAAUCUCCCACUGCAUCACGCCAAAAGGGUGCUGCCGAGAGCCGCUGUUUGGCCAGGGCCCUUCCCGGGUGACUAUAUCAUCGAGAAGGAGGCGACGACUUCUUCGGUUUAACUCAUUGGCUAAGGAAGAAAGAAAAAGUUCAUUGAAUGUCUGCAGGGAAAAGGGCCUGCGCCUGGCUGCUAUUGCUGUUUGUCAAGGAGGCCCCCCCGCCGGGGAAAGCGUGCCCUUCUCUAGCUUGGGAGCACCAUUGCUGCACCGAGAACUGUCGCAGGUCACGAAAUGAGCUGCGAUCUCCCUCCCUUUCUCACUCCUGCCUCUAGCCACACGACUCCCCCUGCUCUGUGCUGGCCCGGCCCUGGGCUUUUAAGCCCCAGGAGCCCACUGGCCCCAACGGGAGUGGGGAUGAAUCCCAUUGUUCUCAUCUCAUUUGGUCAAGCAGCUGGCUGUGUGGCCAGCGGGGACCCACCUGAACAGGUCCAUCGGGCAGUGACUGGUCUGAGGAAAGAAGUUCACCAAGUUUCUAUGACAGGUUUCAGAGUAGCAGUUGUGUUAGUCUGUAUUCGCAAAAAGAAAAAAGAAAAGAAAAGGAGUACUUGUGGCACCUUAGAGACUAACAAAUUUAUUUGAGCAUAAGCUUUUGUGAGCUACAGCUCACUUCAUCGGAUGCAUUCCGAUGAAGUGAGCUGUAGCUCACGAAAGCUUAUGCUCAAGUUUCUAUGUUAACCCCCUUCUGAGCAAGCCGGGAGCAGCCUGGCCUGCUCGCCAUGGAACUGGACGGCUUGUUUCACAGAGGGCACAAUGGAACCAGAGGGGCAGGGAAAGCGUGUGGCCCACGAUCUUGCCCUGCUUACACCAGGCUCAGUAGCUGGGCUCUCCUCACUCCCCUAGGAAGUGCCAAGGAGGCUGGAGAUGUUGGGUGAGGGCUUUAAGUCAGAGUCUUUAGCAGCUUGCUAGGGGUUUUAUUCAACUGUUUGUUGGCUGUCCUUGUUCCAAAGGGUCUGGUCUGGUCCAGCGGACACAAGCGUUUGCUUUAGCCGAUCAGACCCUUAGCCCAUGUAGUCGCCUACAUUCCUGUAUUGACAGCACCAAGCUCAUGUCCAGCUCCGUCAUUUUGGCAUUUCUGGCCGUAGAAGCACCAGCGGUUGCCAAGAUUUUCCAUUAAACCCAAGGGGGAAACGUAUGCAGCAUGUCAGUCCGUGCUGCAACUAGGUGGACGCGUGAAAGAAAUAUAGCAGUUUUGAAGGGGAGAGAAGGAGGAGCGAGGGCUGAGUAAAUAGGUUCCUUGGUGCUGGGUCCGUCUGUGCCGUAAGAACGUCUCAGAACAGCCAUUGUUAUAAACUGGCCUAUCACAGAGCGGGGGGGGGGGGGGGGAGAAUAUUUGACAAAUGAAACGGGGGCCGAAGCAUUCAUCACAAUCCAAUUGAAGGAGUGCUAUGCUGAAGCCAGCCACCUACGUGCCGCCAAAGAGGCACGGGUUUAACUUUCUGAAUAGCAGUGUUCAUGUUCAAGGAAGGAGAGCAGCUCUGAACAGAAAAAUCCUCCAGGACGCAAGGCACCAGACUGACCAACAGGAUGCCCCAUGCAUCCUUGCCACCUUCUUAUGCCACCUGCCCUCUAUGCUGGGUUCUGUGCCUAGGCAGGUGAUCAACUAACCCCAUGUGCCUGGAUGGCGAUGAACUUUACCCACCAGCAAUUGGCCAACCUAACCCCCACCCUCCAUCUGGUGAGAGUUGAUGCGUGCGGCAAUAAUGAGACCACACCCACAUCCUUCCAGAGUCCAUCCCAUCCGCCAGUGCAAGGGGGCUGUCUCCUAUUGCUCACCACAGAGCCCUCACUGCCCCAAGGUUGGACAAACACCUGUCAGGAAUGCUCUAGGUUUUCUUGGUCCUGCGUCAGGGUGUGGGCUGGACAGGAGGACUUCUCAAGGUCCCCUGCCAGCCAGACAUUUGUCCAAUGGAAAGGGGCUGGCUCUCUCUUUUCCCUCUGGGCACUGUAUUGCACUGAUGUUCCUUCAUUAUCAUGGAUGUUUAUGCCCCCAGGCUCAAGCCCCCCAGAGCGUUUGAGCCUUGGGCCUGACCAGGGAUGAUGGGAACGUCCUGGGAACCAUCGACUCUUCUGGGAAUAUUUAUCCCUGGGCCCGACAUGCUCAAACCAGGUAAAACUGGGUGGCUGGUUCUGGCUUCUCUCUUCUUCUGAAUCCUGGGGAAUAAGAAACAAAGAACACUAGAUCCUGAUUGAGCAUCUCCUGUGGGUUCCCCCCAGUGCCCACAUUUGGGCCUGGACAGCUUGACAUGCCCUGCUUGUCUAUGGUCUAAGGCAAAGGUUCCCAUAUUGAGGUACCUGAGCCUGCUGGAAAAGGUACAUUGUAACAAGGUUUGUCUCCUUUCAGGAGUAGUGCGACUCAGGGCAGCCAACCCCCAUUCCAUGACCAUGGCCCCUUUAAGGAAGCAGGUAUUCAAGAGAGCAGCAGACUAGUUGGGUAAUGAGGGCCAGGUGUUAAUCAGGGAGCUAUCUCAGUAACUGAUCUAACUCAGCUGUUAGGUGACUCUCAAGAGAAGAGAAUUACAAGGAAGCAGCCAGUUAGGAAAGUGGCUCCCUGGUACAGGAAUUGGAACCUGAAGGGGAGAAAGUGGGGGCUGAGGAAGCCUGCCUGAAUCACAGCCCACCCCCAAGAGAAAGGGCUCUGGGGUGCCUCAACCAAGCUGGUGUGCUCCCCUCUCCCGCACUGAGCUGUUUGGAAGCAGUUAAGAGAAUUGCAGCAGUAGUGAAGUCAGCCCGUCUUUGGAUUGUUUCCCCGCACCAUCGGCAAGGAGGCCAUUAGGUAUGUGUGCCUCUUCCCUCACGAACUUCAAGCUGUCCCGCUGAGGCACGCCCCUUGUGCCUUUCUGGAGCCACCCGGGCAUCAGUGGGCUCUGCUGGGCCCCAGGCGUUUGUCCAGACAGUUUGCAGGAGCUUAGAAAUAGCAGGAAUGUUAAGUCCCAGCCAUUCCUGUUUUGCUGGAGGUUUCCUUGGAGGACCGAGAGUGAAAAGGUGUUUUCUUGGAAGAAACCUGCUGCAUGGGCUGUGUUGGGUGAAUUCAUAAAUUGCCAGGAGAGAGAGUAGAUUACUUAGUUGGGUCACACAUGCUCAAGGUGAACAUGUCAUCUGUUCACGCAGGCAUUGAGCUGGGUUCGUACUUGCAGGAAAACCUUCUCAGGACGGUCCAGCGGCUGGAGACAAUGGAGCUGAUGAUUCACUACCCAACCUUCUUCUCCCUGAGUCUACAAUGAACCAAGUGCCCAGACUAGCCCUAGUCUCCUGCUGGAGGAGAGAAGAUGAGCCUCUAGGCUGGAGGUCCUGACCAUGUGUGGUUACUGAAGAACCGAUGACAGUUUGUAAUAGUAGGAAUGUUGACUCUGAUGACCUGGCUGAGUUCCAGUACAGCAGAUUACAUUCUGCCUUCAUCUGUGCUCCCUGUAGUUUUCAGUUGGAUGCAGUAUUUGUCACUUUCUGCCCUAUCCUGUGUAUAUUUAAAAACUAAAACACCCCUACAGCCACUGUGCCCGCUGCCCCUUCUGAGGAAAGGCUGGGAGAACAAACACCCACCAGCCGUUCACGAUGGUUUCGUGGAAGGGAUGAGUACUGUACAAGAACCAGUGUGGAGUAGCACAGAAGCGUCUCACUCCUCUGGAGUCAGUCUUCUCUGUUCUCUCGGGCUGGUCUCUCUCUCGUGUUCACCCCACCACCCAGGUGACAGCACUUUCCCUAUGUGUCAGAAUGAGCUGACAUCAGCUUUCCAUUCCAGGGCUGGGAUUUCUCUAGGAGGCCUCAAACUAGCCUCAGGGCUAGUCUUAAAUAGACAACAUGGCCUGAAGUCGAGGCCCUGGGUUACCCACAGCGAAUGCACCUAUUUAGCUAACCCGAUGCUGCUGAACCGUGUUUGAAAAGACUUUGGGCUUGGACCCUACCUCCUGACGUAUCCAAAGGGCCAAUGCCCUUGGGAGAGGCUUGGCUAGCCACUGAAAGGUAGUAGUUCUCAAUGGGGUAGUAGCUACAGGGAUACCUGUUGGACUCAAUAAAUACACCUGAUCCUUGGCAAAACUUGUGCUGUUCCCUGGCAUUAUCUGACUCCAUCGGCCCUUUCCUUUUACUCCCAGGUCACAGAGGCCCCUCUGCUUUCCUAGCAGUAUCCAUUCCGUGAGUCUCUUUCUCUCUCAUCUCCUAACUGAGGGAACAGGCUAAUGGUGGAGGAGGACGAUGUUCCCAUUAAGCGAGGAAUAACCCAAUAGAUCACCCCUGAUGUAUCAGCCAGCGAGCCCCGGAAGAGUCGGGUUUCUCUGCUCCCGCUACACACAGGACUGGGAGAGGUGGCAGCUCAGCGAGAGAAGGCAAAUAAGGAAACACAUUUGUCAGGCCAACCCCUGGCUAUCUUGUGACAGUAAAUGAAAAAUUAGC
This is a long non-coding RNA of Dermochelys coriacea (leatherback sea turtle), 9328 nucleotides long. RefSeq lists it as uncharacterized. NCBI's taxonomy places the organism in Eukaryota, Metazoa, Chordata, Testudines, Dermochelyidae. The transcript has 5 exons. The record is from RefSeq and is a predicted model, not a curated record.